GACGGAGGGUGCAAGCGUUGUUCGGAAUUACUGGGCGUAAAGGGCGCGUAGGCGGUCUGUUAAGUUCGGUGUGAAGGCCCCCGGCUCACCUGGGGAACUGCGCCGGAAACCGACAGACUCGAGUACCGGAGAGGAGGGUGGAAUUCCUGGUGUAGCGGUGAAAUGCGUAGAUAUCAGGAGGAACACCGGUGGCGAAGGCGGCCCUCUGGACGGAUACUGACGCUGAGGCGCGAAAGCGUGGGGAUCAAACAGG
RNAcentral lists this ribosomal RNA (253 nucleotides) under uncultured bacterium. RNAcentral describes it as "partial 16S ribosomal RNA". It matches the Rfam family "Bacterial small subunit ribosomal RNA", at positions 524 to 776 of the family's 1533-position model. The record is from RNAcentral.